Molecule: transfer RNA, 76 nt
Filed under: Stenotrophomonas maltophilia
Lineage: Bacteria; Pseudomonadati; Pseudomonadota; Gammaproteobacteria; Lysobacterales; Lysobacteraceae
Description: tRNA-Lys
Rfam family: tRNA
About the family: Transfer RNA (tRNA) molecules are approximately 80 nucleotides in length. Their secondary structure includes four short double-helical elements and three loops (D, anti-codon, and T loops).
Source: RNAcentral
CGGCUGUUAGCUCAGUUGGUAGAGCAGUUGACUCUUAAUCAAUAGGUCCAAGGUUCGAAUCCUUGACAGCCCACCA